Molecule: unclassified non-coding RNA, 621 nt
Filed under: Zea mays
Lineage: Eukaryota; Viridiplantae; Streptophyta; Magnoliopsida; Poales; Poaceae
Description: misc RNA Zm00001eb274040
Source: RNAcentral
ACCCGGACUAUUCAUUCGCCCUACCUCGCUUUUGGCUAUACGCCUGCCUAGUUGAACACCGACAACGGCAGCAUGCACCCCGCCGCGUGCGCCUCCUCCGCCGCCGCCAGUGCCAGCGCUAUCUCGUCCCCGCUGCUGGCGGCGACGCUAGCGCUGCUGCUGCUGCCAUUGCCAUUGCCAGCCACCGCUUCGGGGUUUCCCGGCAGCAGGCUGAACCCGUGCAGGAACUGCGGGUGCGGCAUGAAGAAGUGGUGCUGUUGCUGGUGCCCGUGCCCGUGCCCGUGCCCGGCGUCAGACACGAACGCCCGCACGUCGGCCCUCUCAGCCGCCGCGUCCGACAGGAUCGGCGAGGAAGCGGGAGCGGCCUGCUGCGGCGGGCUGGUCGCGGCCUGCGGCGACGACUGGGACGAGGCGGACGCGAACGACGACGGCCGCUUCCGGCGCUUCUUCUCGUAGGCAAUGCCGCGCGCCUUGGCCUGGCUGUCGCGGACCUCGCGGAGGUAGAGGCGCACGGCGCGCGCGCCGAAGGGGUUGGCCUCGGGCCGGCCCCCGUGCUCCUCGAAGGCGGCGCGCAGGCGGCCGACGAGCGCGUCGAGGCUGCCCCAAGCCUGGCGCAGCGGG